RNAcentral lists this long non-coding RNA (286 nucleotides) under Helianthus annuus (common sunflower). RNAcentral's name for it is "hypothetical non coding rna". The record is from RNAcentral. Lineage: Eukaryota; Viridiplantae; Streptophyta; Magnoliopsida; Asterales; Asteraceae.
GCACAGAACAGAAGGGGGAAAGAAACCCCAAAUCGCUGCUGACCUGCUGUUGUUGUUCGAGUCCGAGGGCAGGGGUCUUGAACUUGCUCGAUUUCUUCACGAAUCACGGCUCAUCCUCAGGUUGAAAUUGGGGGUGAAUUUUAGCCCUAAACUUGUUGAAAUUGUCAAUCUUCGACGAAUUCUUCUUGAAUCUUCAUAAGAUUAUGCUAUGGGAUUGACCGGUUGCUGCUGUGCCUGCUCUUGUUCGACUGCAAGCUGUUGCGCUACUUGUUCUGGUUUAAUUUAG